This 494-nucleotide ribosomal RNA is filed under the name uncultured bacterium. RNAcentral describes it as "partial 16S ribosomal RNA". It matches the Rfam family "Bacterial small subunit ribosomal RNA", at positions 28 to 507 of the family's 1533-position model. The record is from RNAcentral.
GACGAACGCUGGCGGCGUGCUUAACACAUGCAAGUCGAACGGUGAAGCGCCUUCCUUUUUGGUGGGUGUGGAUGAGUGGCGAACGGGUGAGUAACACGUGAGUAACCUGCCCCCUUCUUCUGGAUAACCGCAUGAAAGUGUGGCUAAUACGGGAUAUUCUGGGUCUGUCGCAUGAUGGGUCUGGGAAAGAUAUUGUUUCGGUGGGUGAUGGGCUCGCGGCCUAUCAGCUUGUUGGUGGGGUGAUGGCCUACCAAGACGGUGACGGGUAGCCGGCCUGAGAGGGUGGACGGUCACACUGGGACUGAGACACGGCCCAGACUCCUACGGGAGGCAGCAGUGGGGAAUAUUGCACAAUGGGCGCAAGCCUGAUGCAGCGACGCCGCGGGAGGGAUGGAGGCCUUCGGGUUGUGAACCUCUUUCGCCAGUGAAGCAGGCCUGCCUCGUUUGUGGGUGGGUUGACGGUAGCUGGAUAAGAAGCGCCGGCUAACUACGUG